Molecule: ribosomal RNA, 497 nt
Filed under: uncultured bacterium
Lineage: Bacteria
Description: partial 16S ribosomal RNA
Rfam family: Bacterial small subunit ribosomal RNA
Source: RNAcentral
AUUGAACGCUGGCGGCGGGCCUAACACAUGCAAGUCGAGCGGACAGACGAAGCUUGUUCCUCUCUUCCGCUACCGGCGGACGGGUGAUUAAUACGAAUAUAACCGGCCUAUAGGGCUGACGUCAGUUCGCGGGAGCUAAUCUCAUACCCGAUAAUAUGUUGAACGUCAUGGUUCUUCAGACAAAGACGGUUUUGCUGUCACUUAGACAUGGAUCCGCGUCGCAUUAGCUAGUUGGUAAGGUAAAGGCUUACCAAGGCAACGAUGCGUAGCCGACCUGAGAGGGUGAUCAGUCACACUGGAACUGAGACACGGUCCAGACUCCUACGGGAGGCAGCAGUAGGGAAUAUUCCGCAAUGGGCGAAAGCCUGACGGAGCAACGCCGCGUGAGUGAUGAAGGUCUUCGGAUCGUAAAGCUCUGUUAUUAGGGAAGAAGAAAUGUGUAUGUAACUAUGCCUGUCUUGACGUUACCAAAUCAGAAAGCACCGGCUAACUACGUG